This is a long non-coding RNA of Harpia harpyja (harpy eagle), 906 nucleotides long. RefSeq lists it as uncharacterized. The transcript is spliced from 4 exons. NCBI's taxonomy places the organism in Eukaryota, Metazoa, Chordata, Aves, Accipitriformes, Accipitridae. The record is from RefSeq and is a predicted model, not a curated record.
CUAUGCAGCUCCAUGUACCUACUUUUUGAUUCUUGUACCCUGUUGCUUUCAAAAUUUUCUGUUUCCUUCUAUCCAUCUCCCUGUCUCUAGUUCUUAACUCUUCCCUCUCUGUCCUGUACCCUGUCACUUCUUAGAUUUUCUUUCUACCUCUCCCUCUUUCUGUCUCCCUGUGCCUAUUUGUUAGUUCUUGCCUAUGUUUCUCAUAUGCUGUUGCUUUUUGAAAAUUUUCUCUCUACCUGGCUCCCUGUUUCUGUUUUCUAGUUCUUGCUGUUUCUUCUCCCAUAUCACUUGAGAAUGUUUCCCUGUCCCUUGUCCUGUCUUUAUCUUGUUGUCCUGCCAGUCCCUUCACCUUCUCUCCCCCACUUCCUAUUAUUUAUUCCUCCAUCUCCAUCCCUGUUGUUUUGCUCAGUCUCUCUGUGCUUCUCUCUCUACACUGUUUUCCUGCUUCUCGUCCCUCUCUUGUUCCCAGCAUCCCAUUUUCUGGCUCCCUGUCUUGCACCUCUGUGUCCCUCUGUCCUUCCUCCUGCUUUACUCUUCCCUUUUAUCACCCCAUCCUGCUGCCUUUGGGCACUGAGCCUUGUAGCCAACUCAUUGCCAGGAUUUCUUAUAUGCAUUAAUGAAUAAAUUUUUCCUGCCUCCUCUGUGUCCCUGGAUGUGGUUGCUUGAGACUGGCUGGGCAUCGGUCAGUUGGUGGUUUCUUAUAGGCACCCUUUACAUACCAUGAAGUCUGCUAUAAGGUCUCCUGCAAAGCUGCAUGCCAGUGAGCGGUCCGAGAAGAUGUUGAAGACCAAUGUGUCACCUUGAGGAACAUCCCAGUUAGCCUGUGUGGUUUUUGUGGAGGAUGGACUCAGCCCCUCGGCCCUCUGAAAGCUACGUUGAGGGACCAGGGCUGGGGAGAGGCUGGGA